GUAUUCUUGGCUCAGUUGGUUAGAGCGUGGUGCUGAUAAUGCCAAGGUCGCAGGUUUGAGCCCUGUAUGGCACA
This is a non-coding RNA of Podarcis lilfordi (Lilford's wall lizard), 74 nucleotides long. NCBI's taxonomy places the organism in Eukaryota, Metazoa, Chordata, Lepidosauria, Squamata, Lacertidae. The record is from the annotation of a GenBank genome assembly.